Molecule: long non-coding RNA, 226 nt
Filed under: Musa acuminata (dwarf banana)
Lineage: Eukaryota; Viridiplantae; Streptophyta; Magnoliopsida; Zingiberales; Musaceae
Description: long non-coding RNA (MACU_LNC011747)
Source: RNAcentral
CCAGCCCUAUUGCCGCCGCUUGCCUCCCCUUGGGUCGCAGCCGCAGCCGCUCGACCUCCCCUCGUCGGCGAUCAUUGGUGACGCUGCUUCCAGCCGCGCCACCAUUGUUGCCUCCUUCUUGACCGCCACACCACUAUUGCCAGCAUUUCCAGCGGCUCCGACUAUGGUGCGAUAGAAACAGAGCACCCUGUUUCCCAUCUCCAGCAUCGUAACUUCCCGACCAACG